Molecule: ribosomal RNA, 1164 nt
Filed under: uncultured organism
Description: bacterial SSU rRNA
Rfam family: Bacterial small subunit ribosomal RNA
Source: RNAcentral
GUUUAUCGAGUAAAGGCUCCGGCGCUUUGAGAGGGACCUGCGGCCCAUCAGCUAGUUGGUAGGGUAAUGGCCUACCAAGGCAAAGACGGGUAGGGGGCGUGAGAGCGUGACCCCCCACACUGGCACUGGGACACGGGCCAGACUCCUACGGGAGGCAGCAGUGAGGAAUAUUGCGCAAUGAGCGAAAGCUAGACGCAGCAACGCCGCGUGGGUGAUGAAGGCCUUCGGGUCGUAAAACCCUUUUCUGGGGGAAGAGUAAGGACGGUACCCCAGGAAUAAGCCUCGGCUAACUAUGUGCCAGCAGCCGCGGUAAUACAUAGGAGGCAAGCGUUAUCCGGAUUUACUGGGCGUAAAGAGCGUUGAGGCGGCUUCGUAAGUUGGACGUGAAAGCUCCCGGCUUAACUGGGAGAGGCCGUUCAAUACUGCGGGGCUUGAGGACAGCAGAGGGGGGUGGAAUUUCCGGUGUAGUGGUGAAAUGCGUAGAUAUCGGAAGGAACACCAGUGGCGAAGGCGGCCCCCUGGGCUGCUCCUGACGCUGAAGGCGAAAGCUAGGGUAGCGAACGGGAUUAGAAACCCCGGUAGUCCUAGCCGUAAACGAUGGAUACUAGGUGUAGGAGGUUAAAAUUCCUUCUGUGCCGGAGCUAACGCGUUAAGUAUCCCGCCUGGGGAGUACGGUCGCAAGGCUAAAACUCAAAGGAAUUGACGGGGGCCCGCACAAGCAGCGGAGCGUGUGGUUUAAUUCGAUGCAACGCGAAGAACCUUACCAGGGCUUGACAUGUAGGUAGUAGUGAAGCGAAAGCGGAACGAUCCUUCGGGAAGCCUACACAGGUGCUGCAUGGCUGUCGUCAGCUCGUGCCGUGAGGUGUUAGGUUAAGUCCUGUAACGAGCGCAACCCCUGCCGUUAGUUACAAGUGUCUAACGGGACUGCCCGGCAAAACUGGGAGGAAGGUGGGGAUGACGUCAAGUCAGCAUGGCCUUUAUGUCCUGGGCUACACACACGCUACAAUGGCCGGUACAAUGGGUUGCCAAGCCGCGAGGCGGAGCCAAUCCUCUAAAGCCGGUCUCAGUUCGGAUUGUAGGCUGCAACCCGCCUGCAUGAAGUUGGAGUUGCUAGUAACCGCAGGUCAGCCACACUGCGGUGAAUACGUUCCCGGGCCUUGUACA